RNAcentral lists this transfer RNA (64 nucleotides) under Osphya sp. n. Its description in RNAcentral is "tRNA-Pro". The record is from RNAcentral. Lineage: Eukaryota; Metazoa; Arthropoda; Insecta; Coleoptera; Melandryidae.
CAGGAAAUAGUUUAUUUAAAAUAUGAAUUUUGGGGAUUUAAGAAGUCAUUUUUGACUUUCCUGA